RNAcentral lists this long non-coding RNA (1005 nucleotides) under Homo sapiens (human). Its description in RNAcentral is "long non-coding RNA NONHSAT089498.2". The record is from RNAcentral. Lineage: Eukaryota; Metazoa; Chordata; Mammalia; Primates; Hominidae.
AUGACACCCAAGCUUGCACCACAGCCCAGGUCCUGCUGAAUGGAGUAGAACUUGAUGCCUGUGCUGCGGUCCCAGAUGCUGAUGAGGUCAUCCAGGCCACUGCUGAUGACACAGGAGGUGGUACAGGUAAGGGAGGUGACAUCCCCACGGUGAGCAAACACAUGGCUGACCCGGCUGCCAGUCAGUACAUCCCACAGGCAGAUGGCCCCAUCUUGUCCUCCACUGGCCAGCACCAUGGUCUGGUCAAUGUACACGGUCGUGAUGGCCCCUGAGUGGCCCUGAAGGGUGAAGAGGCAGCACGAGUCCUCCAGACGGAACACUCUCAGUGUGUGGUCUUGGCUCCCAGUCACCAAGCGCCCAGCAGCGGCUUUCAGGGCUGUGAUGGGUUUUUGGUGUGCACAGGGCACUGUGUGGGUCAGGUGACAGGCCACUGUGUCGCUGCUGCUGUACACUGGAGAGGCAGGGGAACUGCCCCGCCCUGGGGUCCCUCUAAACUGCAGGGGGCUGAGGGCAGUGUGGGUCUCCAAGGAGAAGAAAUCAAGGGAACCGUUGAGCCGUGCAGCCACAAUCCUGGAAGAGAAGAACAGCUGCCAGGGGCCUCUCCCUUAGAGCCCCAGCCCUGGGGCUGAGCAUGUGGACAUGAGAGUUAAGGGCCAGUUCAAGAAGGCACAGGAGGGACAUGGCCAAGAGGAAAGCACAUGGUGCCAGAACAGAUGCUGGAGCCAGAGGGCAACUCCAAAUAUUAACCACCUUGUGCCUCAGUUUCUUCAUCCGUAAAAUGGGGAUAAGAGUACCCACCUCACAGGGUGGUCAUGAGAAUCAAGUGAGCUAACGUGUAAGGUGGUACCUGGUGAAUAUCACGUAAGUUUGUAAAUUAAAAACAAGCAGAGGGCUCCAUGUAGCCUGGAGCUGAAGGGAGGGCUGCUGAGGGGAAACAGGAUGCAGGGUGGGCUAUGUUGGGUGUUGCGGAAGCCUGCAUUCUCCACAUAAAAGCAGCUUCAACCC